UACAGAGGUGGCAAGCGUUGUUCGGAAUUAUUGGGCGUAAAGCGCGCGUAGGCGGCGCGGUAUGUCGUGCGUGAAAUCUCCCGGCUUAACUGGGAGGGGCCGUGCGAAACUGCCGGGCUUGAGGUCGGAAGGGGAAAGUGGAAUUCCGGGUGUAGUGGUGGAAUACGUAGAUAUCCGGAGGAACACCAGCGGCGAAGGCGGCUUUCUGGUCCGAUACUGACGCUGAGGUGCGAAAGCGUGGGGAGCGAUCCGG
Molecule: ribosomal RNA, 253 nt
Filed under: uncultured bacterium
Lineage: Bacteria
Description: partial 16S ribosomal RNA
Rfam family: Bacterial small subunit ribosomal RNA
Source: RNAcentral